AGAACGACCAGAGGACCAGUUAA
Molecule: ribosomal RNA, 23 nt
Filed under: Cuphea epilobiifolia
Lineage: Eukaryota; Viridiplantae; Streptophyta; Magnoliopsida; Myrtales; Lythraceae
Description: partial 18S ribosomal RNA
Source: RNAcentral